Molecule: long non-coding RNA, 1027 nt
Organism: Motacilla alba alba
Lineage: Eukaryota; Metazoa; Chordata; Aves; Passeriformes; Motacillidae
Exons: 7
Source: RefSeq, a predicted model, not a curated record
UGUUGCUUGGCUGCUGCUCCCUUGCCUAAAAGAGAAACAGUCUUCACAGGUGUUUUUUUUCCUAUGAUGAGUAAUGGCCCAUCAGUGCAUUGCUAGUAAAGCUGUUGGAUGCACAAAAGCUUUUGCAGGUUUAGAAAACAGAGCUAUAGUGUGCUCAGCAUGCUAAGGACAACCGGCUCCAUACCCACAAAUCCUGGCAAACUGUAGUCUGAGGAUGUGUUUCUACUUCGAGGACUUUGAACAGACUGAACAUAGUGCUGAUUGUCACUCUCACUGAACUCCUCGCUGUGACUGUGCAGCAGCAGAGAUCGCAGGCAGUGAUCUCAGCUAAAUGAAGACCAAUGCCCAGAUUCAGGCUACACAACUCAGGCUCACAGUGGUGUUCUUUACACAUACUGCUGUCAUUGCUGAUAAGUCACUUAAGACUCGCAUCCACCACCUGUAAACGUGUUGUUUUCUUUUUUCAAUGACAAAAUGUAAGUCAGUGCUUCUUCAGAAAACAGGAAUAGACAGGAAACAAAGAACUACCUUAUACUGGAUUUCCGUAGACUUCUCCAGAGUCCGUGGGGUUUUCACCUCCGUGAGGUCACCUGUUACCUGUUGCAAUGCAGGGAGGCAGCAAGGGCAAUGUCUGAUGAUAUGAGCUCAUGGUGGUGGCCUCCCUUGGACACGAUCGCCACUGUAGCCACACGCUGCUACACCUGGGUAGUGAAGAUUUGCCUGUUCCCUCUUCAGCUUCUGAUUACAUUCCCAUAUUUAAUUUCUUAUCAAGGCUGGACGCAAACCCAUGAUGGAAGAAGAAAAAAGACUAAGUGUAGACAGGAUAUAUUUCUACAUCCACAGAACUGAGCAAAGCAUCAUGGAGUAACAGUCCACAGUAAUCUGAAGAAACUGAUGUAUAUUUUGUUUCUACGUUCCCUUAGAUACCAGAAUUAAGAGUUGUAAUACUCUCCUUUGUUUAUACCUUGCUUACUUCUUCAUUCAGAUUGUAUUGUGAAAUUUAAAUGAAUCUAAGACACUUAAUGCU